Molecule: ribosomal RNA, 351 nt
Filed under: Triticum aestivum (bread wheat)
Lineage: Eukaryota; Viridiplantae; Streptophyta; Magnoliopsida; Poales; Poaceae
Description: partial small subunit ribosomal RNA
Source: RNAcentral
AUGAAAAAAAGAGGGUGGAAAGGAAACCCGAAGUGUUCUUUCUGUGGGGAGAAUGAGACUUCCCAGCAUCUCUUCUUUGACUGCCCUGUAGCUAAGGUGACCUGGAGAAGCGUUGCCUGCAUGCUCGGCACUGAUCUGUGCCCGAACAGCUUAUGGCAUGCUUACUCCAGGUGUUAUGUUUACUUCCCGAAUGGGGAGAUUUUCUACACAGUUGGCAUAGCUGCGCUUUGCUGGGCUAUUUGGACAUGUCGCAAUGGUGUUACGUUUGAAUCUAAACAUUUGAAAACCCCUUUUGAAUGCUGCUUCUCUAUGUGUGCUUUUCUUGGUUAUUGGGCAGGGCAGGACUAUUGA